GAUGAACGCUGGCGGCGUGCUUAACACAUGCCAGUCGAACGAUGAAGCCCAGCUUGCUGGGUUGAUUAGUUGCGAACGGGUGAGUAACACGUGAGUAACCUGCCCUUAACUCUGGGAUAAGCCUGGGAAACUGGGUCUAAUACCGGAUAGGAGCGUCCACCGCAUGGUGGGUGUUGGAAAGAUUUAUCGGUUUUGGGUGGACUCUCGGCCUAUCAGCUUUUUUGUGAGGUAAUGGCUCACCAAGGCGACGACGGGUAGCCGGCCUGAGAGGGUGACCGGCCACACUGGGACUGAGACACGGCCCAGACUCCUACGGGAGGCAGCAGUGGGGAAUAUUGCACAAUGGGCGCAAGCCUGAUGCAGCGACGCCGCGUGAGGGAUGACGGCCUUCGGGUUGUAAACCUCUUUCAGUAGGGAAGAAGCGAAAGUGACGGUACCUGCAGAAGAAGCACCGGCUAACUACGUG
This 466-nucleotide ribosomal RNA is filed under the name uncultured bacterium. RNAcentral's name for it is "partial 16S ribosomal RNA". It matches the Rfam family "Bacterial small subunit ribosomal RNA", at positions 28 to 507 of the family's 1533-position model. The record is from RNAcentral.